Molecule: long non-coding RNA, 879 nt
Organism: Vitis vinifera (wine grape)
Lineage: Eukaryota; Viridiplantae; Streptophyta; Magnoliopsida; Vitales; Vitaceae
Exons: 2
Source: RefSeq, a predicted model, not a curated record
UUGUGUGAUUAUGUGUAUCUUUUUGUAGGUGUUCCUACUUCGACUGCUGUAGCUGCAACACGUUCCGGUUCCAGUACUACUGCUGUUCAGACAUCAUCAUCCCCGGUAGUAGCUCCCAGUAGAGGAAGAUUUAUCUGUCAUGGUUCACUCAAGGCAGCCACUGGCCCUCAUUCCUAAGGCCAGGUUUCGAAAAAUAUGCUUCAAAACAAGAGCCAUGGGAUUGAAAAAAAAAUAAAAAUUUAUGAACUCUCAACUCCGUGGUGUGGAGGCAUGCCUGAUUAUCUCUGAUUGGAAGGGUGAUGAGGAGCGGCCAAUGCUGGCCUCCAAACUGAAAAGAGGUGAAGUCUGGUAUCAACUGAUAUAAAAGAAAUAGCAAGAAGACAACAGGACUGAAAACCCUGGAAGGCAACCAAAGUACAGAACCAAAGAUAAACUUGAAGCGAUUAAUUACCAAAUGGAAACACUGUUUGUGCAGCAAUUUCUAGCGGAAGAACCUGAUGAACCAGUGAUGGAUGAAGAGGAGGACGCAGCAAGAAAUUGUUGUUGAUUCAAGUGGAUCCUUCUAAGCUGUGAAGCAAAUAGUUCAGCUGCUCAAACAUGCCUUCAUUUUUGUAUCUGGUCCUUUGUAUUAGAAAGCGCCUCACUGUAGGAUGUAAAUGUUUGUCUAUUUUAGAUUUUCUGGACUGGUUGGGCUUGUUAAUAGGAGGAUGUUUUCUUUUUCUUUUCCUUUUGCCCUUUAUAUACUUACUGCAGGCUGGGUUUUGAUCCCUUCUUUAAUUAGGCAUUUUUUUUAAAAUAAAUCUAUGUUUGCCAAUCAAUAUAUGUACAUAUACCAAACGUCAAGUUAAUUCUAUGUUUUUUUGUGACUGUUACUCAUCA